UACGGGGGGAGCAAGCGUUGUUCGGAUUUACUGGGCGUAAAGGGCGCGUAGGCGGCGUGACAAGUCACUUGUGAAAUCUCCGGGCUUAACUCGGAACGGUCAAGUGAUACUGUCGUGCUAGAGUACAGAAGGGGCAACUGGAAUUCUCGGUGUAGCGGUGAAAUGCGUAGAUAUCGAGAGGGACACCUGCGGCGAAGGCGGGUUGCUGGGCUGAUACUGACGCUGAGGCGCGAAAGCCAGGGGAGCGAACGGG
Molecule: ribosomal RNA, 253 nt
Filed under: uncultured bacterium
Lineage: Bacteria
Description: partial 16S ribosomal RNA
Rfam family: Bacterial small subunit ribosomal RNA
Source: RNAcentral